Molecule: small RNA, 571 nt
Filed under: Pongo abelii (Sumatran orangutan)
Lineage: Eukaryota; Metazoa; Chordata; Mammalia; Primates; Hominidae
Description: retained intron
Source: RNAcentral
AAGUAGAAAAGAAACAAGGCUGGAUCACUGUUGGGGACUUGGAAGGCUGUAUACAUUAUAAAGUUGUUAAAUAUGAAAGGAUCAAAUUUUUGGUGAUUGCCUUAAAGAAUGCUGUGGAAAUAUAUGCUUGGGCUCCUAAACCAUAUCAUAAAUUCAUGGCAUUUAAGAUCUCCAGCACAAGCCUCUGCUAGUUGAUCUCACAGUAGAAGAAGGUCAAAGAUUAAAGGUUAUUUUUGGUUCACACACUGGUUUCCAUGUAAUUGAUGUUGAUUCAGGAAACUCUUAUGAUAUCUACAUACCAUCUCAUAUUCAGGGCAAUAUCACUCCUCAUGCUAUUGUCAUCUUGCCUAAAACAGAUGGAAUGGAAAUGCUUGUUUGCUAUGAGGAUGAGGGGGUGUAUGUAAACACCUAUGGCCGGAUAACUAAGGAUGUGGUGCUCCAAUGGGGAGAAAUGCCCACGUCUGUGGGUAGGUUAACCCUUCCUUAUCUCCUUCAGCAGUUACACCCCCCAAAUGAAACGAAAAUCAAGAAAUGUGAAACAACCAUUUGAUUCCACCAAAAAAAAAAAAAA